AAAAUUUGAGAAAUCAAGAUGUCUAAGUUUAUCAUUCAAGCUAGCAAAUUUGGUUCUCUUGAGAUGCUAGCUAUUUUCUUUCCCCUUUUGUCAUUGUAAACAAGAAAAAGAGGGGAAGAACAUAAUGGUGUAAAUGUUCAAGUCAUCACAAAAAUACAAAGGCGUCAUAUGAAAAUCAUGACAUGAAGCACAUCAAUAUCAAAUCAUGAAUGCCA
RNAcentral lists this long non-coding RNA (215 nucleotides) under Musa acuminata (dwarf banana). RNAcentral's name for it is "long non-coding RNA (MACU_LNC005232)". Lineage: Eukaryota; Viridiplantae; Streptophyta; Magnoliopsida; Zingiberales; Musaceae. The record is from RNAcentral.